UACAGAGGUCCCAAGCGUUGUUCGGAUUCAUUGGGCGUAAAGGGUGCGUAGGCGGCGCGGUAAGUCGGGUGUGAAAUCUUGGAGCUUAACUCCGAAACUGCAUUCGAUACUGCCGUGCUUGAGGACUGGAGAGGAGACUGGAAUUUACGGUGUAGCGGCGAAAUGCGUAGAUAUCGUAAGGAAGACCAGUGGCGAAGGCGGGUCUCUGGACAGUUCCUGACGCUGAGGCACGAAGGCCAGGGGAGCAAACGGG
RNAcentral lists this ribosomal RNA (253 nucleotides) under uncultured bacterium. RNAcentral describes it as "partial 16S ribosomal RNA". It matches the Rfam family "Bacterial small subunit ribosomal RNA", at positions 524 to 776 of the family's 1533-position model. The record is from RNAcentral.